Molecule: long non-coding RNA, 485 nt
Organism: Lolium rigidum
Lineage: Eukaryota; Viridiplantae; Streptophyta; Magnoliopsida; Poales; Poaceae
Exons: 2
Source: RefSeq, a predicted model, not a curated record
ACUAGAACAAGAACUUCCGCCACCUCGUCCGAAAAAGCAAAAACAGCAAAGGAAAGACAAAACUGAAUCUGUCGAGACAUCGAUUGCUGUUGAUCCAAAAGUAAUGUCCAGCCCAGGUGUGACCACAAGGAGUAUGGCAUCCCUCUCUCCAGCAAGCCCUGGUGUGACAACAAGGAGGAUGGCAUCCCUCUCUCCAGCAAGCCCAGGUGUGACAACAAGGAGGAUGGCAUCAAUAUCACCUGGAGGAAUUAACCGCAGGCUUAUCAUCGAGUAGUUGUCGUAGUCUAAUCUCAGUAUGUGUGGUCAGUACUGAACUAUGGCCAUAUCUGUUAGUGUCUUGUGAACUAUGGUCUUUUGCCAACUUGCUAAUUGUUGUGAAUUUCCAUGACAGCUUAGAUUUAUGUUAUAUGCUGAGAUGUUGGCUGUUAUGUCAUCUUGAACUUCUGUUGUACUCCUAUGUGAUAUAGCAAGUUGAAAUCUUCUCA